RNAcentral lists this transfer RNA (69 nucleotides) under Psenopsis anomala (melon seed). RNAcentral describes it as "tRNA-Pro". It matches the Rfam family "tRNA". Rfam says of the family: Transfer RNA (tRNA) molecules are approximately 80 nucleotides in length. Their secondary structure includes four short double-helical elements and three loops (D, anti-codon, and T loops). Further hydrogen bonds mediate the characteristic L-shaped molecular structure. tRNAs have two regions of fundamental functional importance: the anti-codon, which is responsible for specific mRNA codon recognition, and the 3' end, to which the tRNAs corresponding amino acid is attached (by aminoacyl-tRNA synthetases). tRNAs cope with the degeneracy of the genetic code in two manners: having more than one tRNA (with a specific anti-codon) for a particular amino acid; and 'wobble' base-pairing, i.e. permitting non-standard base-pairing at the 3rd anti-codon position. Lineage: Eukaryota; Metazoa; Chordata; Actinopteri; Scombriformes; Centrolophidae. The record is from RNAcentral.
CAAAGAAUAGUUUAAUAAGAAUCUUGGCUUUGGGAGCCAGGGGCAGGAGUUAAACUCUCCUUUCUUUGA